GACGAACGCUGGCGGCGCGCUUAACACAUGCAAGUCGAAGGGAAAGGCCUGCUUUCCCUUGUGGAUUGCGGGUACUCGAGUGGCGAACGGGUGAGUAACACGUGAGUGAUCUGCCCCCAACUUGGGUAUAAGCCUGGGAAACUGGGUCUAAUUCCCGAUAGGACUGCAGGGUGGUGCCUGUGGUGGAAAACGAUUUUCUAGUGGUUGGGGAUGAGCUCGCGGCCUAUCAGCUUGUUGGUGGGGUAAUGGCCUACCAAGGCGGCGACGGGUAGCCGGCCUGGGAGGGUGGACGGCCACAUUGGGACUGAGAUACGGCCCAGACUCCUACGGGAGGCAGCAGUGGGGAAUAUUGCGCAAUGGGCGGAAGCCUGAUGCAGCGACGCCGCGUGGGGGAUGACGGCCUUCGGGUUGUAAACUCCUUUCGACCGCGAGGAAGCCACCUGGUUGGAAGGGUGGUGACGGUAGUGGUAGAAGAAGCACCGGCUAACUACGU
This 493-nucleotide ribosomal RNA is filed under the name uncultured bacterium. Its description in RNAcentral is "partial 16S ribosomal RNA". It matches the Rfam family "Bacterial small subunit ribosomal RNA", at positions 28 to 506 of the family's 1533-position model. The record is from RNAcentral.